GGAGAGACCAGGAAAGAUGGGUUCCCUGGAAACUCAAGCCAGAAGGUACAGUAUGUUACCAUGGAAAUAUUUUAUAUUUAUACAAUACUGUAUAUGAGAUAUUUCACAACUUACACAUGUGUUUGAACAUGAUAAACUCUUUAAACAUAACAGAGAGUCAGAGAGUGCCCUGUCAGCUGGGUCUGUACAUGGUCUAGCACCUUCAGUUCACCAGGACCACUCUAAAGCAUCAUCACCCUCUAAACCCUCCUCUAGAGCCCUUAGAAGUUGAAGUUGAAGAAUACACACACGCACGCACACGCACGCACACGCACGUACACACACACACACACACACACACACACACACAGGGACAUAUUUGUCUAUGAAACUCGAUCCAAUCUAAUGACAUAACACUUAAAAGGCGCGGCCCACCCAAACAUUUUCCUAUACUUGAUAAGGUUUGAGAAUUGGCUAAAGCUGGUCUGCGUUACUCAACACUGCACAUGACAUGCAAAGUCUAUAUCAAGUGUCAUAACAUUCAUAUUGAGAUUGAUGGUGGUGUGACUUGGCCUAUUCUGCCUGUGUGGUUCGUGUGGUUUCCACCCGAACAGUAUUAGCUACGGCAGAGUACUGUUUUGCUGUUUUAGGGAUGUCUUAAGGCCUUCCCUUUUACUGUGUGUGUGUGUGUGUGUGCGCGCUUUCGUGUGUGUGCGUGUGCAUGCCUAAUCCUAAUUGUGCGUGUGUGUUCUAUUUCUACCUCAGGGUGACCAGGGUGUUUCUGGCUCACCAGGUCUGGAUGGUAUUCCUGGACAGAAGGGGGAGGCAGGAUCAAACGGGUCUAAGGGGAUCGAUGGAGCAACGGGUGAGAAGGGACCAGCUGGGGAGCCUGGUGCGGAGGGGAAACCUGGGAUAAAUGGUUUGAAAGGAGACUCAGGUCCUAUUGGCCCCAAAGGUGAUCAAGUAAGUCAUAAUCCUCAUCUAUGGUUUGGUUUUAAACAUUAGUAAAUAGCAUGAGCUGACGCACACCCCAAACUGUUUUAUAGAGGGGCUGACUAACAGACAGUAAACUGUAGGCUAGGAGCUGACUAACAGACAGUAAACUGUAGGCUAGGUGCUGACUAACAGAGAGUCAACUGUAGGCUAGGUGCUGACUAACAGAGAGUCAACUGUAGGCUAGGUGCUGACUAACAGAGAGUCAACUGUAGGCUAGGUGCUGACUAACAGAGUCAACUGUAGGCUAGGUGCUGACUAACAGAGAGUCAACUGUAGGCUAGGUGCUGACUAACAGAGAGUAAACUGUAGGCUAGGUGCUGACUAACAGAGAGUCAACUGUAGGCUAGGUGCUGACUAACAGAGAGUCAACUGUAGGCUAGGUGCUGACUAACAGAGAGUCAACUGUAGGCUAGGUGCUGACUAACAGAGAGUCAACUGUAGGCUAGGUGCUGACUAACAGACAGUAAAUUGUAGGCUAGGUGCUGACUAACAGAGUCAACUGUAGGCUAGGUGCUGACUAACAGAGAGUCAACUGUAGGCUAGGUGCUGACUAACAGACAUUAAACUGUAGGCUAGGUUCUGACUAACAGAGAGUCAACUGUAGGCUAGGUGCUGACUAACAGAGAGUCAACUGUAGGCUAGGUGCUGACUAACAGACAUUAAACUGUAGGCUAGGUUCUGACUAACAGACAGUAAACUGUAGGCUAGGUGCUGACUAACAGAGAGUCAACUGUAGGCUAGGUGCUGACUAACAGAGAGUCAACUGUAGGCUAGGUGCUGACUAACAGAGAGUCAACUGUAGGCUAGGUGCUGACUAACAGACAUUAAACUGUAGGCUAGGUUCUGACUAACAGAGAGUAACUGUAGGCUAGGUGCUGACUAACAGAGAGUCAACUGUAGAGAAAGGUAGAAAGUUGUGUACUCCCUACAUGUUCCCAACUAUUUGAUAGGAAAACAUAACCAAUAUUUCAACAACGCAUUUUCAGGGUGGCUUUGUAUAUUAACAUUGUACAAUCAUGUACACUCAUAGAUAGAUACAAACAUUAGGAAUAAACAGGUCAUGUGACAAAGCACACCACCCAGGUAGCAUUACCGAUCCUCUGACCUCAGAAUCCAAUCUGUUUGACCACUGGUCAUUUCACCAAACAGACUGAACAUCAUUGGGCUGGAACUACUCUCAUCAUUGCACAUUACAAACUUGAUCUGCUGUCCAGCCCAGAUUAUAGCGUUGUACAGAGAGUCCAAUGUAGUAUUUCUGAUCAGUCAGACAUGCCAAUUAUUUGUACCAGACACAUCCUUCUAAAAAACCUCAUGCCUCACUGGUGGUCAGUGUAAACACAUUCUACUACCAUAUUAUUAGACCUCUGAAUGGGUACAUGACAAGUUCAACCAUUUCCAUUAAGCUGGGGAUUUAAAGCAUUCAUAAAAACAGUGGAGACUUGAUUAUCAGCAGUCUUUAUAGCCUGUUCAUUGAAAGGGAAUUUGAUUUACAGUAGACAACUUCCUCUUAUUGCAAUUCAAAAUACACGUAGAAAAGAAUAAAUCUAAUAGCACAGUGGGAUUUCCUUGCUCUGUAAGAGAUGGAAUGUGUUCCGUUCUCUAAUUAGUUACCGUAUUGUUCAUACUUACACGUACGGUACUCAGGCAUGCACACAUACACACAUUAACUCACACUUUCAUUAUUGGUGAGGGAGCGGCUGUAUGAUGGUAGGGUUAUGUGCACAGUCUUCCAGCCUUGAAGUUUUAAUGAGCUAUCUGUUUGGUUCUCUGAGGAGGGAGGCAGGGAGGGAGGGAGGGAGGGGAGAGGGAGAGAGAGAGGGAGAGAGAGAGGGAGAGAGAGAACCAAAUGAGUCUAUUUUGUAGAGCUAUCGGAGGGAGGGGCAAAUGUGAUUAUUUUGGGUGACAACUGUGAAUACAACCAAAACGGUCAUGAAUAACUAAUCAGUCAUAAAUAAUCUUAACUUUCCAGAUCAUAUAGACCUAAUUGGUUAGUGACAAAGUUUGGCAAAUGUCUAAAAACUUUGUACCAUGGUUGCAAGUCAUUGUAAACAAAAUACUGUAGCUCAGUUGGUAGAGAAUCGGUCUGAAGAUGCCAGGAUAGUGGGGUCGAUUCCUGGGACCGUAGGUAAAAAAAUAUAUGCACGCCUGACUAUAAGAUUCUUUGGAUAAAACGUGUCUGGUAAAUGGCAUGUAAGACAAGCAGUGAAGGAAGUCCUUCACUUUAUUAAAGCAGGACAUAACACUUCUUUAUUGACUUCAGUUAUCCACUACACUUACAGUUAUCCACUACACUUACAGUCAUUAUAUUCAUUAUAAAGGACAUGUAUUCAUUAUAAAGGACACAUGUAUUCAUUAUAAAGGACACGUAUUCAUUAUAAAGGACAUGUAUUCAUUAUAAAGGACACAUGUAUUCAUUAUAAAGGACAUGUAUUCAUUAUAAAGGACAUGUAUUCAUUAUAAAGGACAUGUAUUCAUUAUAAAGGACAUGUAUUCAUUAUAAAGGACAUGUAUUCAUUAUAAAGGACAUGUAUUCAUUAUAAAGGACACAUGUAUUCAUUAUAAAGGACACAUGUAUUCAUUAUAAAGGACAUGUAUUCAUUAGAAAGGACAUGUAUUC
Oncorhynchus mykiss (rainbow trout) is the source of this 3592-nucleotide long non-coding RNA. The record is from Ensembl. NCBI's taxonomy places the organism in Eukaryota, Metazoa, Chordata, Actinopteri, Salmoniformes, Salmonidae.